UACGUAGGUGGCAAGCGUUGUCCGGAUUUACUGGGUGUAAAGGGCGUGUAGCCGGGCUGACAAGUCAGAUGUGAAAUCCGGGGGCUCAACCCCCGAACUGCAUUUGAAACUGUUGGUCUUGAGUAUCGGAGAGGCAGGCGGAAUUCCUAGUGUAGCGGUGAAAUGCGUAGAUAUUAGGAGGAACACCAGUGGCGAAGGCGGCCUGCCGGACGACAACUGACGGUGAGGCGCGAAAGCGUGGGGAGCAAACAGG
RNAcentral lists this ribosomal RNA (253 nucleotides) under uncultured bacterium. Its description in RNAcentral is "partial 16S ribosomal RNA". It matches the Rfam family "Bacterial small subunit ribosomal RNA", at positions 524 to 776 of the family's 1533-position model. The record is from RNAcentral.